Molecule: long non-coding RNA, 4783 nt
Filed under: Medicago truncatula (barrel medic)
Lineage: Eukaryota; Viridiplantae; Streptophyta; Magnoliopsida; Fabales; Fabaceae
Description: long non-coding RNA (MTRU_LNC000861)
Source: RNAcentral
CAGUGUUGACUCCAAGACUUAAACCCGAGACAGGAAAGUACUGGUGCAAGGUGGCUCAUAUUCCUCAUAUAGAAAUUGAUGACAAGAAAGUUGGGCAACCUUGGUAUAGAUAUUGAUGACCAAAAAGUGUUUGGGUCUGUGGACUAAAACACCAAAACUAGGCAAAAUAAUCAUGUUACUUCUGUACUCUACCCAACUUUGCAGAUUAAUAUUCGUUUCACUUUUUAACUAUAGCUCUACUAUUUUUAGCACAAAAGAGACCAAUGGUUUAAAUUUAUCACUUACUAUGUAUCUAACAUUUUCUGCAUAUUCCAUGAUAAGAUUGCUUGUGUGUCAUACAUAUGAUGUUAUGUGUUCAUUAUGUACUUUGUUAGCACUAGCGGUCUGCAAAGGCAGAAGUAAUAGAAAAUAACGAGUAGAUGUGUAAUUUGUUCAAAACUACAGUACCUUGAAAACUCAAUUUCAACAGCAAGCAAAAUCAAAUGAAGGCAAGCCACCAAAUUUAUUCAUCUAUGUAUCUAUAGCAAGCAAAGUAUAACGAAUCAUUAAUCAUUACCUUAACUUUGUUUGAUACGGGAUUCUUUUUUCGCUCUCAAUUUUAUCACAGCGAUUCCGGGUGAAGUUGCGGAAUUAAAAAUUGAACGGUGGAGAAGCUUCUAACAGCGACACUGACGCGAUGAAGAGCGAAUCCGACGCGGUGAUUAACAAGGGUGGUGCAACUCCGGCGCGGUUAAGAGCAUAUUCCGACGCGGUGGUCAACGAUGAUGCAUUUACUUUAGAGGGUCGAAAUGAAGGCAAAAGAAGAAAAGGGAUUUUGUGUGUUUUUGAAGAAGAUGAGGAAUGUAGAGAAAGAAGGGUUAGGUCAGAGCCAUUGUUUCCAAUAAGAUGGAUAUGCAACACUUUAUUGGAAAUCGAUAACAUUAAUUAUUUGUCAUUUACAAUGCACAGUAAACUUGAAUUUGAAUUGUGAUUUGUGCUAGCCAGCAGCAAGAUCAGAUCUAUGGGUGAUAAAUAAGUGGCGCCCAAAGGUGUAGAUCCAAGUAUUUUUAGAUUAGAUAACCCAAACAAAAUGUAUUUUUAGAAGAAAAAGAUAUGACGUGUGAGAAAAGCAAGAAUCCUUAAAAUUUUAUCAAGUAAUUGGGCCUUCUUUUAAAAAUCAGAUUUUUAAUAACAAAAAGCCCAACCCCUUCUAUGCUGUCCUUCUAUGCUGUCCGUCGAACCUAGAGACGAGGGUAAAGAAGGGAACGAAAAUUCAAGGAUGGAAGCUUUGUGGGGCUAAAAUCGAUAAAUCACAUGUCAGUUUGAAGGAUAGCACUGAAUCGGGGUGGAAAUUUCUGAACGCACCUUUGAAGGUUCUGAACGCGGUAACCAAACACGAAGCACGCGGUGAUAUUGUGAUCUCCAAGAAGAAGAGGGUGAGUUUGCCUUAAUCUCCGAAGUUUCAGAUUUUAUUUUUGUUUGUAUUUUGAAGUUUCUCGUUUUUGCCCUUUGCUUGGUCUGUUUUUCUGUAUAUCUUCUCUCCAGGCAAUGGCAACACCACCAACUACACACGUUGAUGAUGAUGAUGCUGGAUCGCAUGGAGAAGUAGCGUGAGUAUUUUAUUUUCUUUUUCUUGUCAAUAGUUGGCUAAAUAGCGUGGGUAACAAAUUGUGAUUAAUUAUUUGUUGAACUCAAUAGAAUCUUUUUUUAUUCGAUAGAAGAUCAAAUUGAAUCAUGUGUAUUACUUAAUCAUAUAGAUUAUCUAGAAUUUUAAUAUCCAAUUAAGUUACUGACUUAAUCAUAAUGGUAUAACCUAAUUACGUAUGGAUUGGAUUGGUUAUUCUUUGAAAUUCAGAGGUAUAACAUAAUCAGAUGGAUCAUUGAAUUUCAUUAUUAUGUUUUCUAAGCCAAUUCUAGGAGUUGAAAACAUACCCAGAUUCGUAGGAGAUAAAGGCUUACAACAUGUUUUCAACGGUACACCGAUUAUUUGAGAAUUGAAAUUUUUGUGUUGGUGUUGAAUUAUUUAGGAAGAAGGUGCUGGGUUGAUUAUGAAUAAAAUAACCUUUCGGUAGGGAUUACCAACAAUAAUUAAUCACAAUCAUUAAUUAAUAUUAGAUUCAAGGGUCAUGAUUUGGAGUAACUCUUUCUACUUACUCUUAGAGUCAAUGGAUCCCUCCUCAUAUAUAUGAGCACAGGGAGUCAUUUCCUUUUUCUUUGUGUAAAGAAAAAAGAUGGUAGACUAAUUGAUAUUUCUAUAUAUGCGUGCACUGGAAUGCUGGCACUGGAAAGGAAUUGGACUAUAUGAUGGUGGGACAUUCCCCCAUCCACGCCGGUCCAUCCACACUUCUACUGGGUGUGAUAUUUUGCUAUAUCGGAACAGGGAAAGAUACUGGACGGAGUUGUGCUUUUCCCACCUUGGCCAGGAAGAGAUGUGAGACGAGGUUCUUCAACCAUUACUUUUCUUCAACUUUGAAUUCCGUUCUGUCAGUGUCAAGAUCAGGUGGUAGCUUAUUUGCUGUUGCUGGUGCUACUGGAGGAUCUGGGUCUCGCUUACGAACAUCAGAAUCUCACUAUCGAUCCCAAACAUAAAAAUAUAGAUCACUAGCAUCCGGCUCUUCCUAACGAUCACGAAAGACAAGCACUAGGAUCCCUACUUGAAGUUAAUUCUGGAUCUUACUCCAGAUAACGAAGAUCAUAAUCUCUAUUACGAGCAUCCGUAACUGCAUAGCAUCAGAAUCUCACUAUCAAUCUGUAGUUGGCCAGCAGCAUAGGCUAGGAACCAUAGAACAUGCCACAGUGCAUGCCAUAGCGAUGAUGACCACCAUAGACCAUAGUAGUGGAUAGGUAUAUUAGUGUUAGCCACCUAUAUAUAUAUAUAUAUAUAUAUAUAUAUGACAUGCUAUGGAUUCAUGCAGAUAUAUAUAUUUGGCAUGAAUUCUAGAGAAAGUUUUUGUAAUUUCUACAUGCAUGUUGUGGCUUUGUUUAUAUUGGUGGCAAAAAUUAUGCAUGUUGUGGUUUUAAAGUUUUUUAUUCAUUUAUUAAAAAAAAAGUUUUUUUAUUCGUUAUACCAAAUGUACUUGUUCUGUAGUAUCCUAUAGUAUCAAACACUUCCCUUUUUAUAGUUUGUGCACGAAAUAAUAUCUUAAGUGGUUUGUUUAUCAGUACUUGUUCUGCAUUAUCUUAUAGUAUUAAACACUCCCCUUUUCAUAGUUUGUACACGAAGUAAUAUCUUAAGUGGUUUGUUUAUCGGUUGUGUCGGUGUACUUGUUAUGUAUUAUCUUACUUGCAAGUGUCCACAUCUGCUUAUGUUUCACAAUUCCUAAAAAUGCCAUCGUUUUAUAUAUCGACUCUAAACAGAGGCAAUGAGACACAGGGAAGGGUCGAUGCGUUGUCAGUGGAGGCAAGACUGGAUGCUGGUUCUGCCAAUUCAGACCAAAAGGUUUUUUUUUUAUCUUUCUUUAUUUGAUUUUGUUCUAAUGAAAGCUUAUUUGAUUUUGUUCUCUAAUGAAAACUCAUUACCUUUUUUCUAGUUAACUUUGACCUUGUAAUAUUGUGAUUAGGGUGCAAAUAAUAUUGCAAAACGUUCUCAAGAAAGGAUAGGAAGUGCAUUCACACGAAACAGUUUACCUCAAGAUUUUGAUGAUCAAGAGAUAUUGUAUGAAACUUGCACUGUUUCUAAUGCAUCACAAUUAUUGGUUUUGGCACCCAAGUUGCAGAGCCUAAGAAUUAAGGACUGCGAAUCAUUGGAUGUCCUCCCAGAUGGUUUGCUAGAUGGAUCAACCAGUCUUAAAGAAUUGAAAUUGAUGAAUUGUUCUGAUCUAAGGUCCAUCCCUUACCCUCCAUCCCUGACUGAACUUUACAUAAGCAAGUGUAGAAAUUUUGAAUUACUCCGAUCGUCAAAAUCAAGAGAGAAUCUUUCCUUUAUUCACAGAUUGUCCAUUGGGAAUAGUUGUGAUUCUCUCACUACCUUGACCUUAGAUUUGUUCCCUAAACUCAAGAUUCUUUUUAUAUGGAACUGUCCCAAUCUAGUAUCUUUUGAUGUUACAGGGGUGCAUAAGGGUGAUUUUCCAUUGGAAUGUUUUGAAAUAAGAGAUUGCCCUGGAUUGACGUCUUUCCCAGAUGAAGGAUUUCAUACACCAAACCUACGUGCCUUCACCCUUUCCAAUUGCAAGAAUCUUAAAAAAUUCCCCAAUUUUAUUGCCUCUCUCACAUCUCUCCUCACAUUAUUUGUACUUAGAUGUCCACAUAUUGAAUGUUUUCCACAUGGUGGUUUGCCUUCAAGCUUAAUUCUAAUCUCUAUUGCAUAUUGUGACAAGCUUACAUCACAAAAGGAAUGGGGAUUGGAAAAUCUAAAAUCUCUGACUACAUUUAAUAUUGAAGGUGGAUGUAUAGGUCUGGAGUCAUUUCCAGAGGAAAAUCUUCUUCCCAGAAACAUUAUCUCUCUACACAUCAGCAAUUUAAAGAGUCUCAAGAAGCUGGACGACAAGGGCUUUCAACAACUUAAUGCUCUUUGCACACUUAAAAUUGAUCGUUGCGACGUUCUGCAGUACUUGCCUGAACAGGGGCUUCCUUCCUCCCUAAAUCAGCUCAAUAUCAGGGAUUGCCCAGUGUUGACUCCAAGACUUAAACCCGAGACAGGAAAGUACUGGUGCAAGGUGGCUCAUAUUCCUCAUAUAGAAAUUGAUGACAAGAAAGUUGGGCAACCUUGGUAUAGAUAUUGAUGACCAAAAAGUGUUUGGGUCUGUGGACUAAAACACCAAAACUAGGCAAAAUAAUCAUGUUACUUCUGUACUCUACCCAACUU